UCACAGUGAUAAGGAGUCGGAAGCAGAUGUGUAAGAGCCGCGGAUCUGAUCGCUUUACACCGUGUGAACAGAGUCCUGACCACAGGAGCUGACAGUCUAUGAAAUGGGAGAUGCUGAAAACCAUCCCUAUACACGGUCCGUCCUCAGUCACAUGAUGAGGGACAUGCUGGGGGUUGUCCUUCCGCCCGCAGUGAGAGGAGGAGGAGCACCAAUCACUCCCAUCCUCCCCUGGAUCAUGGGUCUGGGCCGCCAUAAGCUCGUCGUCCUGGUCCUGGUUCUGUCCGUCUCCGUCCUGCUCUACCUGCUCCUCCCCUCCAUGAGGCCCGCACCGGAGGAGGCCCGAGCCGAGGCCGCCCGCGCCGAGCCCCCCGACAGCGUGAACGUCACCGUGCGGACGGCGACCCUGGGCGGAGCCUGGCCCACCUUCUACCGGGAGGCGGCGCCGAGGGGCAGCCCGGAGGAGUCCGAGAGGUUCCCGGUGCUGUUACUGCAUGGACGCUCCUUCACCUCAAAAACCUGGGAGGACCUGGGGACGCUGCAGAUUCUGUCCGAGCACGGAUACCGGGCGGUGGCCAUAGACUUACCAGGAUACGGCCAGUCUCUACAAGCUCAGCCUAUGUCUUCAGAGAAGGGCCGCACUGGGUAUCUCCUCCACGUCAUGGAGGCGCUGGGCACACGCCAGCCGGUCAUCAUCAGUCCGUCCAUGAGCGGCCUCUUCUCCGUACCUCUCCUCCUGCAGCACCCCGACCGCCUGAGGGGCUUCGUGCCAGUUGCUCCUGUGGGGACAAAGAGCUUCAAACCGCAGCAGUACCAGCAGAUCCAGGUCCCCACCCUCAUCGUAUUCGGCACAGAAGACAUGAACCUGGGCAGCCAAUCGCUAGAGAGCCUGCGGCACCUGCCGAACCGCACGCUGAGCCCCCUUAAAGGAGCCGGGCACGCGUGUUACAUGGACAGACCGGAGGAGUUCCACACGGCUCUGCUCAUGUUCCUCAGCAAACUAUAAUCCCUAUCAGACGAGACGCAGGAAGAUCUCCUCAGGUGAAGGACUCGGCACCUGCUGCUCAUAGACACCUGUGACAAGGGGCAGGUGUGCAACCAGGACUAUGACUAGUGAACCAGUGUAUGAAAGGAGAGUGAUGUAAUCUACCCACAUGACUUCUGCAGCCAAUCACUGGCUUGUAUCGGUCCCCUCUGCACACCCCUUCAUCUCUGGCUGCGGUGGCCGUGGUUGGACGUCACCUGAAGUAAUUUGGUGCAGAAUGUGGAUUUCAUGUGAGGACAGACACGAGAGGUAAUGGCGCCUCUACUCUUCUCCUGGAUAUUUGGCUCCACUUCUUGUAUAUGGGGAUCGGUCACUGUGGCGGUAGGAGGCGAGCGCCCUCCCACAGCGCAGAAUCGGAGCGACAUCCUGAGCAUGCAGAAGUGACAGAGGGAGCCGAGGUCAUGGGGGACACUGCACCGCUGACCUGUAUAUAGCACCCCCCCCCCCCCCCCCGGUCUGGAUUUCAUGUGUCUGAUGUUAAUAAAGUUUUUCUGUGAAUCGUACAAGGAUCAUUGUCAGAUACUUUAUCCCUCAGGUGCGUGAUGAGUUGUCAUCCUCUGAAUUUUGUUUUCUGACAGCAAGCAGAGAUAU
Molecule: RNA transcript, 1633 nt
Organism: Bufo gargarizans (Asiatic toad)
Lineage: Eukaryota; Metazoa; Chordata; Amphibia; Anura; Bufonidae
Gene: ABHD14A
Gene name: abhydrolase domain containing 14A
Exons: 5
Source: RefSeq, a predicted model, not a curated record